UGCGGUGACCGCCACGAGCG
This 20-nucleotide unclassified non-coding RNA is filed under the name Chlamydomonas reinhardtii. RNAcentral's name for it is "small RNA Cre_3135". The record is from RNAcentral. Lineage: Eukaryota; Viridiplantae; Chlorophyta; Chlorophyceae; Chlamydomonadales; Chlamydomonadaceae.